RNAcentral lists this ribosomal RNA (440 nucleotides) under uncultured bacterium. RNAcentral's name for it is "partial 16S ribosomal RNA". It matches the Rfam family "Bacterial small subunit ribosomal RNA", at positions 338 to 795 of the family's 1533-position model. The record is from RNAcentral.
CCUACGGGAGGCAGCAGUGGGGAAUAUUGCACAAUGGGGGAAACCCUGAUGCAGCAACGCCGCGUGGGUGAAGAAGUAUUUCGGUAUGUAAAGCCCUAUCAGCAGGGAAGAGAAUGACGGUACUAGACUAAGAAGACCCGGCUACCUACGAGCCAGCAGCCGCGGUAAUACGGAGGGGGCAAGCGUCAUCCGGCGUUACUGGGUGUAGAGGGAGCGUAGACGGUAGUGCAAGUCUGAAGUGAAAGCCCGCGGCUCAACUGCGGGACGGCUUUGGAAAAUGUGUAACUGGAGUGCUGGAGAGGGAAGCGGAAUUCCUGGUGUAGCGGUGAAAUGCGUAGAUAUCAGGAGGAACACCGGCGGCGAAGGCGGCUUACUGGACAGUAACUGACGGUGAGGCUCGAAAGCGUGGGGAGCAAACAGGAUUAGAUACCCGAGUAGUC